GGGGUUGUGGCUCAGCAGUAGAGCACUCACCUAGCAUGUGUGAGGCCCUGGGUUGGAUCCUCAGCACCA
RNAcentral lists this transfer RNA (69 nucleotides) under Ictidomys tridecemlineatus (thirteen-lined ground squirrel). Its description in RNAcentral is "Spermophilus tridecemlineatus (thirteen-lined ground squirrel) tRNA". It matches the Rfam family "tRNA". Rfam says of the family: Transfer RNA (tRNA) molecules are approximately 80 nucleotides in length. Their secondary structure includes four short double-helical elements and three loops (D, anti-codon, and T loops). Lineage: Eukaryota; Metazoa; Chordata; Mammalia; Rodentia; Sciuridae. The record is from Rfam by way of RNAcentral.